UACGUAGGGGGCGAGCGUUGUCCGGAAUUAUUGGGCGUAAAGCGCGCGCAGGCGGCUCCUUAAGUCUGGUGUGAAAGCCCGCGGCUCAACCGCGGAGGGUCAUUGGAAACUGGGGAGCUUGAGUGCAGGAGAGGAGAGUGGAAUUCCACGUGUAGCGGUGAAAUGCGUAGAGAUGUGGAGGAACACCGGUGGCGAAAGCGGCUCUCUGGCCUGUAACUGACGCUGAGGCGCGAAAGCGUGGGGAGCAAACAGG
RNAcentral lists this ribosomal RNA (253 nucleotides) under uncultured bacterium. RNAcentral describes it as "partial 16S ribosomal RNA". It matches the Rfam family "Bacterial small subunit ribosomal RNA", at positions 524 to 776 of the family's 1533-position model. The record is from RNAcentral.